RNAcentral lists this long non-coding RNA (4133 nucleotides) under Sus scrofa (pig). Its description in RNAcentral is "lncRNA (ENSSSCG00005029194.1)". The record is from RNAcentral. Lineage: Eukaryota; Metazoa; Chordata; Mammalia; Artiodactyla; Suidae.
ACAAACUUUUUAUUUAGAAUUAAACUCAAAUACAAAUUAAGUACAAUAUAAAAUAUUAAGCCUUCAUAAAACAGACCACAACCAUUUAAAGCAUCCACUAAUUCUACAAUAAAAUUAAAGAGAAAUCUAAAAAUAGUGCAAAAUCAAAUUAUUUUUAAACUUGUCAACAUUAAAAUUAUUACAAAAUUCUCAAAGAAAUUUAAUUAGAAAAUGAUCAAAGCCACUACAAAAUGAUUCCUGCUAUUGACUAAAAUCAAUUAAGGAAUUAAAUUGUAGUAUGAUCUCUACUCAUUCACAAAUAGAAAGCAACUCUUUUUUUGUUUUUUUAAUUUUAUGGCUACACCCACGGCAUACGGAAAUUCCUGGGCCAGGGACUGAAUCUGAGCAGUAGCUGCAACCUACACCACAGCUGCAGAAACACCAGAUCCUUUAACCCACUGUGCCAGGUGGGAAUCCAACCUGCCUCAUGGCACUGCAGAAAUGUCACCAAUCCAGUUGUGCCACAGUGGGAAAUUAGUAACUUAUUUUUAAAAGACAAUUAAUUAUAUGUUUCACUCCAAGACUACUACUUCAUCUACUUUUUUUUUGGCUGCACCUGCAACGCGUGGAAGUUCCUAGACCAGGGAUCAGACCCAAGACACAGGAGGGAUCCAAGCCAUAGCAGAGGCAAUGCCAGAUCCUUAACAAGAACUCCUGUUUACUUGACUUUUAAAUUUAAUAUGGCACGACAGGCUUAAUCAAUGAAAACAAGAUCACUAAAAGUAUUUAGAAUGUUCCUUACAAAACUUUUCUGCUUUAUUUCAUAGAUGAAGGGAUCAUAAAUUUGAAAGUUAAAACAAGACAAUAUAAUAAACACUCCUCAGUUACAUGGCAAAAUAAAUAUACAUGAAACAAAUUAGUGUCUAUCAUUUUUCACCCAUAAAUGAGAAAUUGAUCAGACUCAUUUUAUAUUUUCCCUUUUGAUUAUGCCUUAAUUCUCGAGGGGGGGGGAGACUUCAUAUUAUUGUUUUAAAUCCAACUCUAAGAAUUUGUGCCCAAAAGCUACCAAAGGAGACACCAUGAUAUCUUAAGUCCAUAUUGUUUCUGGAAAUACUAUAAAAAGUGGAACUAGACUUGUCCUAAGUAAAUAACAGGAAAAUACACUAUUACGGUAUUUGUAUAUUUUAAAUAAUCCAAAGUAAAGUAAAAAUCCUUCGAGAAGGGCCCACAUUAUUCAAGAGUAAAGUUAUUUGCAUUUAUACUAACAAUUCUGUGGCUACAUUUUUUCCUAAAAACAUGCAUUUUUAUAAGGCCUUUUAUAACUGAAUUUAUAAAACCAACUAUUAUUGUAUAUGUAUCAACUGUCAUGAUUAGAGCUUUCUGCACACCAGGAGAGUUAAAACUUUAACAUCUGUUGUUCUAUAAAACUGAAGGUGAACUAUAAUCAAACUAGCAUCUCACUAGAAAAGUUAUAUAUCUCAGCAAUGCUAUAAUUCCUAUUAAAUAAAUGGACACCAAGAUGCAGUCAUUCUUUCAAAAUGCUCAUUUCCACUACAUUACCAUUUUAAAAACCAUGUUAAUCAAACACAUUCCUUGGAGAAAAUUCACUCAGGGUUCUGAACAAAUCAGUUGUUUUCUACAAGUGACUCUACCCUGAGUGGUAGGGUUCUAGCUUUCUUAGAAGUUUUUUUUUUUCUCUCUUUCAAAGACAAUGAAAAACAUACAGACCUUCUUACUGGUUUACUAAACAUAGAGAUUAACAGAAAGUGCAUAAUAAAAUUUAGAACUACAAUAACUUUUAAGUUCCCAAAGUUUAUUUUCUAUUAACCAGCUAUAACCUCAGACAAGUUAUUGAACUUCUCUGUUCUUUAGUUUCAUCUUUAAAACUAAGAUAAAGAGAUUAGAAAGACAAUCUCUUGGUUCCUUUCAAUUCUCACAUGGUAUGAUUCUGUGCUUCUGAAGGAAUAUUAAAUUGACAUAUUGAAUUGUCCAUAAAUCAAAAGAAUUGAACUAAAAUAGCAUAGCUGAACUAAACUUCUCCUAUUAGAAAAACACAGGAGUUCCCGCUGUGGCGCAGUGGUUAACGAAUCUGACUAGGAACCUUGAGACUGUUAAAGCUCAACUUCCCAAACCUUACCAAGCCCAUUUACUCUUCAGGCAGACCAACAGAGUUAAAUUCUCUAUUGCUGUUAACUAUUUCAUAAGUUAUUUUAAAUUACAAUGUAAAUCUAUUAAAAUAUAUUAAGUCUAUGCCACAGUUUUCCAGCAUUCUAAUUUAUAUUAUUUUCAUUCUAUUUAUAUUCACGAUAAUCUGAACAGUUAAGGUGGGGGCUUCUUAAUAUUCUUGCACUUCAAAACAAUAAUAAAUAGAAUGAAGAGCAGAAUAUCAGUCAUUAUUCUGCCAAUUUUAAAAUAAAAGUAUGUCGAAUACUACUGAUGGGCUAGAAAAACAAGGCAAAGCUAAAAAAGGAAAUCUUGCUGGCAAAUGCUGAUGUUCAAAUGAAUUCAGUUGUGUUUUGUCAUCUCUUAAAAAAAGAGAAGAGGGAAGAGAUGUCAGAAGAAACCUACUUAGGUAAUACUGACCCAUGACAUUUCAGGAGCUUUUAUGAGAAAUUAAUGCACCAUGAAGCAGUACUUUGGUACCAGUGCAGUACAAGUUGGUUUUCUUUGUCUAACUAUGGUGAGCAAAUGAGGCACUUAACCGUAAAAUAGAAAAAUAGGGUAGAUUUAAGAAGAAAUUCAAAAUCACUCAUAAAAUUAACAUUAUCCAAAAAGUUAAAAAUUCUAUUUUUACUUAACAUGCAUUCAAUGUUAUCCAUGCCUCACUAAGGAAAAUCCUUUGAAUCUAAGACCGUUGUUUUGUUUAAAAGAGACAGAAAAUAUUUCCUUUGCAAGAGGUUCUGGAUUUCUGAGAAUGAAAUCCAAGUCUUCUCAACCUGAGUGCUACAUAUUUAUGAUGUGAGAAAUAAACAUCUUAUUCACAUUGGAGAAAUGUUUUUAUCAAUACAGAGUAUAAGAUGUGAUCCCUGAUCUUAUUCUUGGAAGGAUCAGCUUUUAUUUUAUAUAACUUCAAAGAAGGGGAUCUAGUGACUGUAACUGAAUAAUGAAUAGAUAUUUAGCACCUAAAUUUAGAGAAUACCCUAGUAUUGCCAUAGUUAAAUUGUUGUAUGUCCACAGAUUGGGAGGAAGUCAGAUAUGUAUUGGUCAAUGAUAUUAGAACAUUCUCAGAGAUUAAAAUAGCAAGCUUCCAAAAACUGUCCUUGAUUUGUGAAUGCAUCUAUAACACUCAAAAACACUAUUAUCAUUUCUUUUUAGAGUUACAGAUAUAUAUUCUCUUUAAUAAGUAAAGAAAUGUGAGGUUUAUUUUUUCUUAACUACCAUUAAAUUCUCUUCCGAAUGUGGCACUUUUUCAGAGAUUUAGAUAGAAAAUAAUCCUUUAAAAAAUGUCAUUCAUAGUCUACCACCACUGGUAUUAUUUUAAAUGUUCUCUUCUAUGAGGCAGAGGUCAAAAAUAAAACAACCAUGGGUCUCUGCUGAAAUACAUAGCCAAUAUAAAGUAGGAACAAAGAACAUUAACUUCUGGCAAUAUAUUGGCACAUAAACGCUUAUCUGUGGAACAAAAAAAAAAAAUCACUAAAUGAAAAGAUGAUGUUUGCUGUGGCAUUAUUCCAAGUGAAUGAAGCCUGUAUCUAAUAGAAAUAUUCUUGUGUUGUCUCUUUAAAUAAGCUUGACUUUAGUGCUUGAUGAACACUUUGCUUCAUAUGUUAAAAGUGAUAGGUGACAUUGAUGUUUUCCAAGAGACAAUUUAAGCAUCCCCAUUGAAUAUCCUAUAAUCUUACCUUUUCUCCCUUAUUUGCUUAUAAGAAGGCUCUCCUUGACUCAUAGGGGAGGGAAAAAGGCUUAAAAACACAUAUUCUUACUCCGCAGAGGCUGGCAAAUUUUAAGAGUUUCACAAUCCUCAUUAUUUGUUAUUUAUAGUCACUGUAACAAACUGUAUUCCUUACUACAUAAUUUCCUCACAUACAUAAGAAUUAAAAUUCUCUUGUUGAUAUCUUGAAGGUAAAAUUUUCUAUCUUCUUUAAUGUAUUCAAGUUUAUUUUUGGAAAGAAAUGAAUACAUAAAAAUACAGGAACACUGCUGAUGCAAUUCAGUUG